RNAcentral lists this ribosomal RNA (252 nucleotides) under uncultured bacterium. RNAcentral describes it as "partial 16S ribosomal RNA". It matches the Rfam family "Bacterial small subunit ribosomal RNA", at positions 525 to 776 of the family's 1533-position model. The record is from RNAcentral.
ACGGAGGGUCCAAGCGUUAAUCGGAAUUACUGGGCGUAAAGCGCGCGUAGGCGGUUUGUUAAGUCGGAUGUGAAAGCCCAGGGCUCAACCUUGGAAUUGCAUUCGAAACUGGCUUACUAGAGUACGAUAGAGGGUGGUAGAAUUUCUUGUGUAGCAGUGAAAUGCGUAGAUAUGAGAAGGAAUACCAGUGGCGAAGGCGGCCACCUGGAUCGAUACUGACGCUGAGGUGCGAAAGCGUGGGGAGCAAACGGG